This is a long non-coding RNA of Clupea harengus (Atlantic herring), 706 nucleotides long. The record is from Ensembl. Lineage: Eukaryota; Metazoa; Chordata; Actinopteri; Clupeiformes; Clupeidae.
CCACAUCAGCCUGUCAUAUCACACUCAAAGAGUCCCACCUUCACCACAAGGAGAAGACAUGGAGAUGCAAACUGACAGAUGGAUGGAUUAAUAUCUUAGCCACCUACACAAUGUUUGAUGGACCUUAUCCAACAGUUUCUACACCAGAUCCAACCAGAACAUCCCAGGACAUUAGUACAAUGGAAUCUGAAGGGAAAUCCAGUACAUCUAUAGAGUUCCCCAUUAGACUUACCAUCUUCUUCAUUCUGCUGCUUCUGCCUGUGGUCAUUGGAAUUGUUCAUGUGGUGAGAAGGAGACAAAAUGUUGAAGAGCCCCUUGCAGCUACUCAACUUCAGCAUUUGAAAUGACGUCAAAGCGUUUCCCUUAGUACAUCAUUGCAUUUUUGGAGAUUUAAAUGCAUUAGCCUCUUUUUACCGUUUUUUUUUUUGUUUGUUUGUUUUAAUGAUACACGUGUAUGAUAUGUGAUAUGCAGUAAGUCAUUUUAUGGGCAUCCAGUUGUUUAUCUUACAACAAGACUUCUGUCUUCUGACUUUAGUCCUAAUAUAGAUAAGAAUAAUACAAAUGUAACAAUGUAAAACUAUACAGUAGACUUACUGCUACAUUCCACUCAUCCCUGAGCAGAAAUCCAUCAUGGUGAAAUAAUCAGUAUAUGCAAUCCCUUCUUUUGUUUUUCAUAUUUUGUUCAGUAACAAUCUGUCAUUCAAGC